Long non-coding RNA from Hyaena hyaena (striped hyena), 752 nucleotides. RefSeq lists it as uncharacterized. The record is from RefSeq and is a predicted model, not a curated record. The transcript is spliced from 3 exons. NCBI's taxonomy places the organism in Eukaryota, Metazoa, Chordata, Mammalia, Carnivora, Hyaenidae.
UUUGUCCGGAAUGUGCUUCCUUCCAUGUCUUCAUAUCCAAAAGCCGCCCACCCUCUUCAAGGCUAUGUGUAAAUAUCUUCACCUUCAUGAAAUCUCCCUUGGGUCUCUCCAGCUGCCAGUUGUAAGAUACCAGGGUGGUGGAGAGAGCAACGUUUCCAGGACCAGACCUCCACGGCAUACAUCUCAGCUAUGCCGCUUCCUGGCAGCAGGGCUACGGCACUGAAUUGUGACUCUGGAUGUGUGCUGAUAAACAAAGCAGGGCAUCUUCAGGACGUUCUCACCAGCUUCUCCUCCGCUGAGCUGCCAACUCAUGCCUCCCUAAAGGAGGCCUCUUAACCAGCCCACCAGCACCAUCUCCUUCCCACUGAGCUUUCUGACUCAUAGCUGCAGGGUAGCGUGUAGCACCCUCAGACAAGAAUACAUCUUGCAAACUGCAUUGGGGGCUGCUUCUCUGGACUGCACCUUCUGGAUACCAGAACCAAGAUGACAACUGGGGUUGAAUUCUUCACAGAUUAGAGAGCAUCUAAUUAUACCUGGAAGAGUUUUUAGUUCAGAGGGUUUUAAAAAUAUGUAUAUAUUUUAUAUGUAUGUAUGUAUACAUAUUUCAUAAUAGUCAAACAUGACUAAUACUUGCUGUAUUGUUUCAGUUCUGUCAGUGAAAUUGGUUCACUCAUAUCUGACUGUCUAAAAAUCAUUAUGAUUCUAGACUUUGAAGAACAGAUUAAGAAUAAAGUCUGACACUUUUCUCUGAA